Astatotilapia calliptera (eastern happy) is the source of this 4153-nucleotide long non-coding RNA. The record is from Ensembl. Lineage: Eukaryota; Metazoa; Chordata; Actinopteri; Cichliformes; Cichlidae.
CUGGAUUUGUAGUAGUAUUUAUUUUAAAAACAUAUGCCUUUAUCAUACAUAAUAAAUUAUAAAUCUAUGAUAUUCAUAAUGACAGGAAAAAAGGACACACAUAAAUACAAACAAAUGACCUGAUGAGAAAAACACAUGAUAGAGAACAACCAAAGCCACCAUCAGAUAUCAAACACCGAAGGAUGGGAAACAUUUGAAGUGUCUGAUUCAAAAUCUGCGUUUUAAAAUGGCUAAUAUCAUCUAAAGCGGGGAAGGUGAACGUAUGGCCCGGGGGCCAGAGAAGGCCCCUCGUAUGGCUUUGGAAAAUGUGAAAUCUUCACAAGGGCAUAAACUUUGGACUCUCUUAUUAUUGUUAGAUUCCAUCACAUAACAGAAAACCUUUUUUCCAUGCUUCCUUAUAGAAAUUAAAACAUAUCGUAAGUUAACAGAAAAUGUCUGUUUUUUUUAAUUAAAUGAUAAGUAGAUAACUGGGAGGUAAUGAACUGCCAGUGGUUUUCCUGUAAUUUACACCUUUAUUUUUUCAACUGUAAGCCUAUAUGUUAUUAGUCGAUAGUUUUACUGGUCUGACCUAAUUGAUAUCAAAUUGAGCUAUAUGUGGCCCAAAAUGUAAAAUGGGUUUGAUACCCCUGAUCUAAAGUAUAUCUGAGCUGAUGCGACGCGUGAAUGCUCUGAUGCAAAACACGCCUCAUAAUAGUUUCCUCCGACUUAACACGGUCAAAGUUAACAACAGGAGAUAACAAGGAGUAAAGCACACACUGGAUAAGCCUCAAACCAUCGUUAAAACUUAAAAACCAACAAGUUAGUAUGACCCCACAUCUGGCAGCAGUCAGCACUCAUGUAAACAGGCAACAUUUAUGUACGACAGGUCAGUCAUUAGACUUGAGUGGAAAACUUUGGAUAAAGAAAGUUUUACACCAACAUUUUAGUCAGUUGCGGUUGCUGACUUGUGAAUUCAAAGAUGUACCUUCAUUUAACACAAAUGAAAGCCCAGUGUCUACACAGAACAUGUCAGGCUACCUCUGUUUAUUAUCUGUGAGCUUGUCAAAAAAACCCCAAAAACAACAAAUAAAAAUUUGUUUCAGAAUCUUUCCCCUCAUAAUUCAUAAUAAAAUCUGAAUCAGCUUGUCCUGUUUAACAAAAAAAAUAAAAAUACUGAGUACUGCCCAUCACUAGUAUCCUGCUACAAGUUGCCAGUGUAUAGUUGCUUCAAAUGAUAAUGAUGCAGUGGAGCACGAAGCAGAUGCUGAAUAUGAUAUCUAUUAUAAUAUACACGUAAUAUCUCUUCAUAAUGAAAUACUCUGAUAUUUUGUUUGAGAAAACAUGCGUCAAACUAUUUACAGAAACACUGUACAGGUACAGGGAUGCUUUAGGGGAGAGGAGGAGAGAAAAAGGGGGAUGUAAAAGUGUGUGUGUAUUUCCUGCAAUAUCAUAUCAAUAUUAAGGUGUUGCCCUGGGACCAUCACUGUUACUGAUUAGUCAUGCUUUUUAAUAGAGAAAUAACAUCGUUAAAGACUCUGUUUUAGGAAAAGAUCCAUGUUUCUGCUAAUUUUAAUAAAAUACGGUAUUUUUCCCCUUUCUCAAAACACAUUUUUACAAUGAAAAUGUAACAGGUCAUGGAAGUACAAAUAUUUCCAUGUUUGCUUUUGCUUGAAAGAAACAAAUUAAGUGUUUCUCAUCCACUCAUUUCCUGCUGAAGGCCAUGAGAGCAGCAGUGUAAGCAGAGAUGCCUAGACCUCCCUGUUCCCAGCAUCCACAGUUUUUAAUGGUCCAGCUGAGAGAUGCAAUCUCAACAGCUUGUCUGACAACAGCCCAUAGGACAUGCAUCAAACACCUCAACAUGGAGGAGCAGUGUUUCUACUGACUGAGAUCCUUACUCUAUCUCUAACAGACCCCAUACACUACAGCUGGGGAUUGUUCGUCCACUAAUUCUUUAGUUCAACACCCGCAGCUUGUGGCCACAGGUGAGGACAGGUAGAUUAAUCUGCUUCAGUCUCAGCUGAGAGCGGGUAAUUCACCCUUUUACAGCCUGGGGUCUGAUCUGAGGGUGCCAAUUCUCAUCCCAUCCACUUCAACACUCAGAUUUGAGCCAUUCAUCCACCACAACCUCAUCUUUUUUUCCUCCUGUGACAUCAAACCCAUGACAUCACAUCCUAUGCAUAAUUAUUCAGUUGCAAUGAUGGUCUGGAUAUUUUAAGAAGAAUACAAACAGUGAUAUCAGGUGAAGAAAGGGAGUGGAGGUGGCACACAAGAAGUGCAAACUGCACAGCUACACAGGAUACUGUUAGUGGUGUGUUUGCAAAUGCAAGCAUGGAGUUAGCAGAUAAUUAGAGCAAGAGAAGCAGAAGACCUGUGGAAGGGAAGGGACUUAAAUUAGCAUGUGGUCGAAGGAAUAUUUCCACAAGACGAGAAAUUUUUUUUUCUGAGAAAAUCAGUGCACUAAGUAUCAAACUGGAGCCAGGGGGCAGUUAGUUUAGCUCAAUCUAAAGGUCUGUGGAGCUUGCUCCAAAAAUCUGUAUUUAGUAUGUCUGUUUAAGUAGCUGGAGGGUCGACUGGGAAAUCUAAAAUGUGGUAAUCUGGGUUGGCAGGUGUGUGGACGAGAGAAGUGUUGGGGGUGGUCUUGGUUGGAGGGACAGUUUGGUCCAAUAGAAGAGCAGACUGUUGGCUGAUCUCUGGUUACCUUGGAGAUCUUUAAGUUCUGGGAGGGGGCGUGACAGGGAAGUCUUUUGAGCUAUCUGCAUGGCAACAAGGUUCUGAGGGGUCCGUGCAAAGGUUAGGGGUCAAAGGUCGGGGAGAAGUCACCAGCGUAGCGAUCUGAACCCCACGUUAUCAGGUCUCACAUGGCUGUUUUUCUCCUGGUCUUCACAAACCUGCAUAUAAAACACACAGAUGUUGCAGAAAUAUACAAAAGCUUAUCAAUAUCAGGCUGUCCACCCAGUAAUUAACAAAUUUCCCUCUUGUGGGACUAAUAAAGGUUAAUAAAGGUUAUCUUAAUCAUCUCUCAUCAUUAUGAAGCAAGAAAGAAUUACAGAGCUUUGACCAACUAGCUAUUACAAAAAAAAUUGAAUCUGCCACUGAAAAAAAAAACCAUUACGUCUAAAUUGAAUUAAGGUUAUUCUCUCAAAUUAUUUUUUGACUCAUUGUAAAACACCAGCAGUUCCAGAAAAAGAGGCUCCAGUAACUUUAAAGACCCAGCAGAGCAGAACCACAAGACUCAGUGAUCGUUUCUCCCUGGAGUCUCUUCAGCUCUGGUGAUCCUCAGCUACAAUCCACCGCACACAAUCUGACACUUGGAAACUGACUUGUCAUUUACACUGUAAAUAUACUUCUUGCUCUUGUUUCUGUCGCUCUUGAUGUGUUUUAUCCUCAUUGGCCUGAACAGGGACCAAAAAUAAAAACUGUAAUUCCACUUCAUGUAAAUACAUGUGCUGGAAUGAGAAUUAAAAAAAAAAAAAAAAACAAGAAAACUUGAAUCAUUAAACAUUUCCACUUACUCGAGAGUCAUAGAUGAGAUCAUCACAAUUAAUCAAGCUAUUUUAAAUAUCUUCCGCUGGUCUGGUUUUUAGCGCCCUGAGGAGUGCUUACUGGACUUCAUGUAGGAAUCAGCAAAACUGCUUCAUAGUGUUCUGAUGCUAAUAAUAAUAAUAAUAACAACAACAAUAACAAUAACAACAACAACAACAAUAAUAAUAAUAUCUAGGCAAAAGCAAUAAUCUGACAUGUAAACAGGGAAAACUGUCAGACUGCAGCUGGAACUGUGGUGUAAUGACUUUCUAUCAGCGAUCAGGCAUCAGUGCAGCCAAAGUCUGGUGCAAAUAGUUAUGGACACCAGAAUUUCUACGUUCAUCUUAUUGUGUAAUAUGUAGGUAAUAACAUACAUCCACCUUUUACUUUAUGCCACUAUUUAAUGAUUACAGCCUUCAUGAUUACUGUCUUGGACAAUCAUAAUGAAGGCUUCCUUUCAAAUGAUGGGUGGAUCAAGUGCGCAGAAGCAAAAAUGGGCACUGACUAAAUAUAGAAUUACUGAGUCUGCACAUCUGAGAGACACUGCGGGGAGCAGAAGGCAUAAUUUCAGCUUCUAAACACAGGUUCUCCUUAUUUGAAAGCCCUCAGACACCUUUUCAUUUUAAUGCUGUGUAGACAGUACAGACUCAGG